GGUCGGGUGGCCUAAUGGUUUAAGGCAUUGCUUUCCGGUUGUUCCUGGUUCUGGCAAAGAUUGCGGGUUCGAGUCCCGUCCUGAUCG
This is a non-coding RNA of Xylaria telfairii, 87 nucleotides long. The record is from the annotation of a GenBank genome assembly. NCBI's taxonomy places the organism in Eukaryota, Fungi, Ascomycota, Sordariomycetes, Xylariales, Xylariaceae.